This 491-nucleotide ribosomal RNA is filed under the name uncultured bacterium. RNAcentral describes it as "partial 16S ribosomal RNA". It matches the Rfam family "Bacterial small subunit ribosomal RNA", at positions 30 to 506 of the family's 1533-position model. The record is from RNAcentral.
AGUGAACGCUGGCGGUAGGCCUAACACAUGCAAGUCGAACGGCAGCACAGUAAGAGCUUGCUCUUACGGGUGGCGGGGGGCGGACGGGUGAGGAAUGCAUCGGCAUCUACUUUUUCGGGGGGGAUAACGUGGGGAAACUGCCGCUAAUACCGAAUACAACCUACGGGUGAAAGCAGGGGAUCUUGGGGCUUUGCGCGUUUGAUUGAGCCGAUGCCGGUUUGGCUGGUUGGGGGGGUAAGGGCCCGCCAAGGCGACGAUCCGUAGCUGGUCUGAGAGGAUGAUCGGCCACACUGGAACUGGGACACGGCCCGGACCCCUCGGGGAGGCAGCAGUGGGGAAUAUUGGACAAUGGGGGCAAGCCUGAGCCAGCCAGACCGCGUGGGUGAAGAAGGCCUUCGGGUUGUAAAGCCCUUUUGUUGGGAAAGAAAAGCGGCAGGGUAAUACUCCGCUGUUCUGCCGGUACCCAAAGAAUAGGCACCGGCUAACUUCGU